UAAAGCCUGUGAUGAUAGAAGUUAUCCCUGUCUGAAAACUGUGUGGACUUCUGGUAACCUGAGGCUUGC
Danio rerio (zebrafish) is the source of this 69-nucleotide small nucleolar RNA. The record is from Ensembl. Lineage: Eukaryota; Metazoa; Chordata; Actinopteri; Cypriniformes; Danionidae.